RNAcentral lists this ribosomal RNA (811 nucleotides) under uncultured archaeon. RNAcentral describes it as "bacterial SSU rRNA". It matches the Rfam family "Archaeal small subunit ribosomal RNA", at positions 84 to 880 of the family's 1478-position model. The record is from RNAcentral.
UACGGCUCAGUAACACGUGGCUAACCUGCCCUUAGGACGAGGACACCCCCGGGAAACUGGGGCUAAUCCCCGAUAGGUGAAGAACUCUGGAAUGAGUCUUCGCCCAAAAGCCGUCGGAGCAUCUUUCUGGCGGUGCCUAAGGAUGGGGCCGCGACCGAUCAGGUUGUUGGUGAGGUAAUGGCCCACCAAGCCUUUGACCGGUGCGGGCCGUGGGAGCGGGAGCCCGGAGAUGGGCACUGAGACAAGGGCCCAGGCCCUACGGGGCGCAGCAGUCGCGCAAACUUUGCAAUACACGAAAGUGUGACAGGGCUAUCCCGAGUGCCGUCCGCUGAGGAUGGCUUUUAACCAGUCUAGAAAGCUGGUAGAAUAAGGAGAGGGCAAGUCUGGUGUCAGCCGCCGCGGUAAUACCAGCUCUCCGAGUGGUGUGGAUGUUUAUUGGGCCUAAAGCAUCCGUAGCUGGCCAAGUUAGUCCCUUGUUAAACCCAACGAAUUAAUCGUUGGAUUGCGGGGGAUACUGCUCGGCUAGGGGACGAGAGAGGCCGACGGUAUUCUCGGGGUAGGGGUGAAAUCCUAUAAUCCCGGGAAGACCACCAGUGGCGAAGGCUGUCGGCUAGAACGAGCCCGACGGUGAGGGAUGAAAGCUGGGGGAGCGAACCGGAUUAGAUACCCGGGUAGUCCCAGCUGUAAACGAUGCAGGCUAGGUGUUUGGACGGCCACGUGCCGUUCUAGUGCCGCAGGGAAGCUGUUAAGCCUGCCGCCUGGGGAGUACGAUCGCAAGAUUGAAACUUAAAGGAAUUGGCGGGGGAGCACA